UACAGAGGUGGCAAGCGUUGUUCGGAAUUACUGGGCGUAAAGGGCGCGUAGGCGGUCCUGUAAGUCCUGUGUGAAAUCCCCCGGCUCAACUGGGGAAUUGCACGGGAAACUGCGGGGCUUGAGUUCGGGAGAGGGAAGCGGAAUUCCCGGUGUAGCGGUGAAAUGCGCAGAUAUCGGGAGGAACACCGGUGGCGAAGGCGGUUCUCUGGGCCUGACCUGACGCUGAGGAGCGAAAGCGUGGGGAGCGAACAGG
Molecule: ribosomal RNA, 253 nt
Filed under: uncultured bacterium
Lineage: Bacteria
Description: partial 16S ribosomal RNA
Rfam family: Bacterial small subunit ribosomal RNA
Source: RNAcentral